This 1598-nucleotide long non-coding RNA is filed under the name Olea europaea subsp. europaea. Lineage: Eukaryota; Viridiplantae; Streptophyta; Magnoliopsida; Lamiales; Oleaceae. The record is from RNAcentral.
CAGCACAUAGUCUCAUGCAUAUAUUUUCCUUUCUGACUUAAGCAUCGGAAGGACGACGAGAACAUAUCUCGUUGCCUUUGUUUCCGGUACGGGAAGACCACUAUCGUGAUCAACCCGAAUCAUCAAACUCGGAAAAUCAGCAGGUACGAUUUUUGGUAGCAUCAAGACUCAAACAGACUCUAAAUAUUCCUAAAUUUGAAAAGCUUUUAAGAUUUGUAUAAUUUUGCAAAUUUCAGAAACAUUUGAAGGCUGAAGAUUACGCUCACUUCUUGAAGCUUCUCUGUGAACAUGGAGAUACGAGAAAUAGUAUUGAGAAUUUAUGCUCUGAGGUAUCGUUUAAUCAUUUAAAUUUUUCUAGUGGACAUGAACUUUAAGUUAAUAUUCAGAUAUUGUCCAUGAAUUCCUAACUAUAACUUAAUCCAUGAAUGACAACAGGUGUAGGACUUGUACAUUCAGUGCAUUUGGUACAUAGAAUUAAACUGUAUUAAAAAGUACAAAAGAUGAGAGUGUAACUUUUAGUUUCCAUUGCUGUCUAAUGCACCUCACAAGACACCCUCAUGUUCACAAUUAUGCACUUAGUAGCGGUUUUCGCAUUGGAUAGUGGGUAUUGGGAACUUUUUCCUUGAACUUUGAAGUUGUUUUUAAGUAAAUUCGUAAGUGCAGUACUAAGGUCCCUCGCUCUUCCAGAUGCGUAGCAGCUUUUUGUUUAUUUAUACUAUCGUUGUAUAUAGUGAAGAUUAGGCCCUUUUUGACCCACAUUCUUUAAAAAAAAAAAAAAAAAAAAAAAUAUAUAUAUAUAUAUAUAUAUAUAUAUAUAUAUAUAUAUAUAUAUAUAUAUAUAUAUAUAUAUAUACACCUUCUUAGAUAGUGAUUUUACAUUAUUUCAACUAACAUUUUUCAAUAAAAUAAUAUUAUAUACAAAUCCAAAACUUUUUCUUAUUUUUCAACCAUACAUUUCUUACCAAUACACUAUUCAAAAAUGCAUUCUUAUGAAAAUAAUGUGGCUCAAACAUGGGCUAUAUGAUUUUCAUUCUCUUAGCGAUCAGAAUGUGUUGAAUUACGGGGAAAUUUUAUUGGAUAGUUAUAAUUUUUCUAUUGCUUCCUCGAUCUUAGCUUACUGCUCAACCCAUUGCAGAUCGGCAGUUUUCUCAGUUGUGAGCCAGAUCUGAUGCAAAAGUUCAACUCCUUUUUACCUGCCUUCGAAGCCAAUGAUCACUGAAUAUGAGAUAUCUCAAUAAAAGCUGAAUGAAAAUCGAAGACAAGAUUCGUGCUUCCUUACAUGGACCUUUUUACUUAAUUUAUGUGAAUUCUUACUGAAGACAGAUUUGUUGAAUGGAAUUUUAUCCCCUGCACUCAUUCAUCUAAUAAUGACAUCUUCAAGAACAGAAGGGAACUUAGACCUCAUGAUAUAGUAUUUGCGGAAUAGUGCUUAUCCUUUUGCUAUUCUUAAAAUACUCUUAAUAUGUGAAUUUCGGUUUCUAAGUGUGGCCAUUUUUACUUUAGUGUGGUAGGUUCAAUUAGAGUGAAUUGUAUAAUAUAGUAUAAAUUGUUUAAUCGUUUUAAUACUAACACUUUGGAAGAUAGCAUUUCAACUUGAG